This 230-nucleotide long non-coding RNA is filed under the name Helianthus annuus (common sunflower). Its description in RNAcentral is "sRNA HanXRQr2_Chr16g0749871". The record is from RNAcentral. Lineage: Eukaryota; Viridiplantae; Streptophyta; Magnoliopsida; Asterales; Asteraceae.
AUGUGUUGCGGAAACUUAACACAUCAUGUGGUUGCCAUAUGUGGCUUAGCAAAGGAUUGCCGUGUGCUUGUAGGCUGGAAAACUACACACGUACAGGGCGUAUAAUACAACUCGACGAGAUAGAUGUAUUCUGGCGUAAGCUUGACUUGCUCCCUUGUAAACUGGUAGACGAGGAGGUCGAUAUUGUAGCAGAGCUCAAUAAUGUGCGGCAACAUUUAGAGGCGCAGUCC